GAUGAAGAACGUAGCGAAAUGCGAUACUUGGUGUGAAUUGCAGAAUCCCGUGAACCAUCGAGUCUUUGAACGCAAGUUGCGCCCGAAGCCAUCAGGUUGAGGGCACGUCUGCCUGGGCGUCACAUAUCGUUGCCCAAUGCCUAUUGCAGUGCAAUAGGAAUUUCUAGGGCGAAUGAUGGCUUCCCGUGAGCGUUGUUGCCUCGCGGUUGGUUGAAAAUCGAGUCCUUGGUAGGGUGUGCCAUGGUAGAUGGUGGUCGAGUUAGAACGAUACCGAUCAUGUGCAUGCUCCCCAAAAUAUGGCCUCUAUGACCCACACGCGUCUUUUGACGCUCAUGACGAGACCUCAGGUCAGGCGGGGCUACCCGCUGAAUUUAAGCAUAUCAAUAAGCGGAGGGA
This 396-nucleotide unclassified non-coding RNA is filed under the name soil metagenome. RNAcentral describes it as "partial contains 5.8S ribosomal RNA, internal transcribed spacer 2, and large subunit ribosomal RNA". The stretch from base 1 to 122 matches the Rfam family "5.8S ribosomal RNA", at positions 35 to 154 of the family's 154-position model. The record is from RNAcentral.